UUGGAGUGAUCAGAAAAGACUCUGUCGGCAUUAGUAGCGAUAACGUAUGUGAGAACCAUACGCACCGAAAACCUAAGGUUUCCUGCGUCAAGUUAAUCUGCGCAGGGUUAGCCGGUUCCUAAGGCGAGGGCGAGAGCCGUAGUCGAUGGAAAUCCUGUUAAUAUUCAGGAGCUGUAACUGGUGUUGUGGGGUGACGCAAUAGGGUAGAUGAGACGGCUGAUGGAUGCCGUUGAAGUAAAUAGCCCGUCAUUUAGGAAAAUCCGGAUGACAUAAGGGUAAAUAAGCGGACGAAAGUACGGAGCUUGCUCCGGAACAAGUCAUUGACCCCAGUUGCCAAGAAAAACCUCGUUCAACAUAACCAAUAUCAACCGUACCGCAAACCGACACAGGUAGGUGGGAUGAGAAUUCUAAGGUGCUUGUGAGAACCCUCGUUCAGGAACUCGGCAAAAUGUACCCGUAACUUCGGGAGAAGGGUAGCCUAGUGAUGAACUAGGCCGCAGUGAAAUGUCUCAGGCGACUGUUUAACAAAAACACAGGUCUCCGCUAAGUUGUAAAGACGACGUAUGGGGGCUGACUCCUGCCCAAUGCUGGAAGGUUAAGAGGAGUGGUUAGGAGCAAUCCGAAGCUGCGAAUCGAAGCCCCAGUGAAUGGCGGCCGUAACUAUAACGGUCCUAAGGUAGCGAAAUUCCUUGUCGGGUAAGUUCCGACCUGCACGAAUGGAGUAACGAUCUGAGAGCUGUCUUAACGAGGGGCACAGCGAACUUGUAGUACCGGUGAAGAUGCCGGUUUCCCGCAUCUAGACGGAAAGACCCCGUGCACCUUGACUACAACUUGAUAGUGAAUUCGGGUAAAUAAUGCGCAGAAUAGGUGGGAGGCUUUGAUAUCAGGCUUUUGGGCUUGGUGGAGCCACCUUUGAGAUACCACCCUUUAUUUAUUUGACUUCUAACCUACUACCGUAAUCCGGUAGAGGGACAUUAUCAGGCGGGUAGUUUGACUGGGGCGGUCGCCUCCUAAAGAGUAACGGAGGCGUUCGAAGGUUGGCUCAGGCUGUUUGGAAAUCAGCCGUAGAGUGUAAACGCAUAAGCCAGCUUGACUGUGAGACAUACACGUCGAACAGGUACGAAAGUAGGAGUUAGUGAUCCGGCGAUCCCGCAUGGAAGGGUCGUCGCUCAACGGAUAAAAGGUACGCCGGGGAUAACAGGCUGAUCCUGCCCAAGAGUUCACAUCGACGGCAGGGUUUGGCACCUCGAUGUCGGCUCAUCACAUCCUGGGGCUGAAGAAGGUCCCAAGGGUUUGGCUGUUCGCCAAUUAAAGUGGUACGUGAGCUGGGUUCAGAACGUCGCGAGACAGUUCGGUCCCUAUCUGGUGUGGGCGUAGCAGAAUUGAAGGAAUCUGACCUUAGUACGAGAGGACCGGGUUGGAUUGACCUCUAGUGUAUGAGUUAUCGUGCCAACGGUAGCGCUCAGUAGCUAAGUCGAGCAUGGAUAAACGCUGAAUGCAUCUAAGCGUGAAGCCAGACCUAAGAUUAGUUCUGCCAGUAGACUCGUGGAAGACCACCACGUUGAUAGGUUGGAAAUGUAAGAGCAGUAAUGUUUUUAGUUGACCAAUACUAAUUGUCCCAAGGCUUGAUCA
Molecule: ribosomal RNA, 1632 nt
Filed under: metagenome
Description: bacterial LSU rRNA
Rfam family: Bacterial large subunit ribosomal RNA
Source: RNAcentral